RNAcentral lists this ribosomal RNA (462 nucleotides) under uncultured bacterium. RNAcentral describes it as "partial 16S ribosomal RNA". It matches the Rfam family "Bacterial small subunit ribosomal RNA", at positions 28 to 507 of the family's 1533-position model. The record is from RNAcentral.
GAUGAACGCUGACAGAAUGCUUAACACAUGCAAGUCAUUGGCGAAGCUGCGCUUGCGCAGUCUAGCCAAGGCGGACGGGUGAGUAACGCGUAAGGAACUUGCCCUGCAGACAGGGAUAACAGACGGAAACGACUGAUAACACCUGGUAUUGUCAGGCUGGCGCAUGCCGGCCUGAUGAAAGGAGACGCUGCAGGAGAGCCUUGCGUCCUAUCAGCUAGUUGGUGGGGUAACGGCCCACCAAGGCGAUGAUAGGUAGCCGGCCUGAGAGGGUGAACGGCCACAAGGGGACUGAGAUACGGCCCUUACUCCUACGGGAGGCAGCAGUGGGGAAUAUUGGACAAUGGGGGCAACCCUGAUCCAGCAAUUCUGUGUGCACGAAGAAGGUUUUCGGAUUGUAAAGUGCUUUCAGCAGGGAAGAAGAAAGUGACGGUACCUGCAGAAGAAGCGACGGCUAAAUACGUG